Molecule: ribosomal RNA, 253 nt
Filed under: uncultured Eubacteriales bacterium
Lineage: Bacteria; Bacillati; Bacillota; Clostridia; Eubacteriales
Description: uncultured Clostridiales bacterium partial 16S ribosomal RNA
Rfam family: Bacterial small subunit ribosomal RNA
Source: RNAcentral
UACGGAGGAUGCGAGCGUUAUCCGGAUUUAUUGGGUUUAAAGGGAGCGCAGACGGCAGUGCAAGUCUGGAGUGAAAGCCCGGGGCUCAACCCCGGGACUGCUUUGGAAACUGCAUAGCUGGAGUGCUGGAGAGGCAAGCGGAAUUCCUAGUGUAGCGGUGAAAUGCGUAGAUAUUAGGAAGAACACCAGUGGCGAAGGCGGCUUGCUGGACAGUAACUGACGCUGAUGCGCGAAAGCGUGGGGAGCAAACAGG